GGAGCAUCCGGCUUGGACGGCAAGCCCGGAAUUAGGGGCCAGGACGGGCCUGUGGGGCCAGCGGGGCCGGCGGGGCCAAAGGGCGACAUCGGUGAGAGAGGAGCGUCAGGCGAUCCAGGACCAAGGGGCCCUUACGGACUUCCUGGAGCUGCUGGAACACCAGGCCUGGAUGGUUUCCGGGGAUUUAAGGGUGAAAAGGGGGAACCAGGGCAGCCAGGUCUGGACGGGCUGGAUGCCCCAUGCCAAUUGGGCCCAGAUGGAUUACCAAUGCCUGGAUGCUGGCAGAAGUGAUCACUCUAACCCGAAACGCAUGGAGUUUGUAAAUAAUGCUUCUUUUAUGGUAUUUAUAGUUUUUUUAAUGGAAAAUGUCUAAAAGAAAAAAGAAGUCUAUGUGUACAAUGAUACGUCCCGAGUUACCCGCCCUAAGCUGCUUCUACUCACAUCACCGUGUGGAAAAACAACCGUGUGUGUCCGCUCUCACAUCCACAUCGUGGUGGAGUUCAGAUCCUCGGCUGGCGGCAGAACUUGUCUCUGUGGUCUUUGCAUGGCUCAGACUGCAGCGCCGCACACUCACGGUGGCGUGGAAGGAGGAAGAGGAAGAGGAGGAGGAUCUGGACUGGCUCUCUAACACCAAACGCUACAUGUUUUGUGUUGUUUUGGUCUCAACACCGCCCAUUCAUGCAGCAACAUUUUCUAAAAGACUAAAAAAAAGAAGAAAAACUGUGCCAAACAGAACAUUGCACCCCUGCCCCUGCAAACGCAUGCAAAUUAUAUUUAUAUGUAUUGUACAUACAUGUCACUGUUUUGUGGUCGGCUUCUGCAGAAAAAGAAAAACACUAACAUAAAUCACA
Notothenia coriiceps (black rockcod) is the source of this 851-nucleotide long non-coding RNA. RefSeq lists it as uncharacterized. The transcript is spliced from 7 exons. The record is from RefSeq and is a predicted model, not a curated record. Lineage: Eukaryota; Metazoa; Chordata; Actinopteri; Perciformes; Nototheniidae.